CGGGAUGUAGCGCAGCCUGGUAGCGCACUAGCAUGGGGUGCUAGGUGUCGCAGGUUCAAAUCCUGUCAUCCCGA
RNAcentral lists this transfer RNA (74 nucleotides) under Facklamia languida. Its description in RNAcentral is "tRNA-Pro". It matches the Rfam family "tRNA". Rfam says of the family: Transfer RNA (tRNA) molecules are approximately 80 nucleotides in length. Their secondary structure includes four short double-helical elements and three loops (D, anti-codon, and T loops). Further hydrogen bonds mediate the characteristic L-shaped molecular structure. tRNAs have two regions of fundamental functional importance: the anti-codon, which is responsible for specific mRNA codon recognition, and the 3' end, to which the tRNAs corresponding amino acid is attached (by aminoacyl-tRNA synthetases). tRNAs cope with the degeneracy of the genetic code in two manners: having more than one tRNA (with a specific anti-codon) for a particular amino acid; and 'wobble' base-pairing, i.e. permitting non-standard base-pairing at the 3rd anti-codon position. RNAcentral also lists the same sequence under 1 other name. Lineage: Bacteria; Bacillati; Bacillota; Bacilli; Lactobacillales; Aerococcaceae. The record is from RNAcentral.